UACGAACGGUCCAAACGUUAUUCGGAAUCACUGGGCUUAAAGCGUCCGUAGGCGGCUCGGAAAGUAGGGUGUGAAAUCCCACGGCUCAACCGUGGAAUUGCGCUCUAAACUAUCGAGCUAGAGGGAGAUAGAGGCGAGUGGAAUUCCCGGUGUAGCGGUGAAAUGCGCAGAUAUCGGGAGGAACACCAAUGGCGAAGGCAGCUCGCUGGGACGGUACUGACGCUGAGACGCGAAAGCGUGGGGAGCAAACAGG
This 253-nucleotide ribosomal RNA is filed under the name uncultured bacterium. Its description in RNAcentral is "partial 16S ribosomal RNA". It matches the Rfam family "Bacterial small subunit ribosomal RNA", at positions 524 to 776 of the family's 1533-position model. The record is from RNAcentral.